AAAUUGAAGAGUUUGAUCAUGGCUCAGAUUGAACGCUGGCGGCAGGCCUAACACAUGCAAGUCGAACGGUAGCACAGAGAGCUUGCUCUCGGGUGACGAGUGGCGGACGGGUGAGUAAUGUCUGGGAAACUGCCCGAUGGAGGGGGAUAACUACUGGAA
RNAcentral lists this ribosomal RNA (159 nucleotides) under Klebsiella oxytoca. RNAcentral's name for it is "partial 16S ribosomal RNA". It matches the Rfam family "Bacterial small subunit ribosomal RNA", at positions 1 to 155 of the family's 1533-position model. The record is from RNAcentral. RNAcentral also lists the same sequence under 1 other name. Lineage: Bacteria; Pseudomonadati; Pseudomonadota; Gammaproteobacteria; Enterobacterales; Enterobacteriaceae.